RNAcentral lists this ribosomal RNA (1363 nucleotides) under uncultured bacterium. RNAcentral describes it as "partial 16S small subunit ribosomal RNA". It matches the Rfam family "Bacterial small subunit ribosomal RNA", at positions 26 to 1381 of the family's 1533-position model. The record is from RNAcentral.
GGACGAAGCCAGCCACCGGGCCAACACAUGCCAGUCCAGGGGCAGCGGAAAGGUAGCCAUACCUUUGCCGGCGACCGGCCCCCGGGUGAAUAACACGUAUGCCAUCCACCUGUAACAGGGGGAUAACCCGGAAAAAUCCGGACUAAUACCCCAUAAUAUGGGCGUUCCGCAUGGAGAGCUCAUUAAACAGAGCAAUUUUGGUUACACACGAGCAUGCGCUCCAUUAUAUAGUAGGCGGGGUAACGGCCCACCUAGUCUUCGAUGGAUACGGGUUCUGAGAGGAACGUCCCCCACAUUGGAACUGAGACACGGUCCAAACUCCUACCGGAGGCAGCAAUGAGGAAUAUUGGUCAAUGGACCAGAGUCUGAACCACCCCAGUAACGUGAAGGAUGAACGUUCUAUGGAUUGUAAACUUCUUUUAUACGGGAAUAAACGAAUCCACGUGUGGAUUUUUGCAUGUACCGUAUGAAUAACGAUCGGCUAACUCCGUGCCAGCAGCCGCGGUAAUACAGAGGAUCCGAGCGUUAUCCGGAUUUAUUGGGUUUAAAGGGAGCGUAUAUGGGUUGUUAAGUCAGUUGUGAAAGUUUGCGGCUCAACCGUAAAAUUGCAAUUGAUACUGGCAGUCUUGAGUACAGUUGAGGUAGGCGGAAUUCGUGGUGUAGCGGUGAAAUGCUUAGAUAUCACGAAGAACUCCGAUUGCGAAGGCAGCUUACUAACCUGUAACUGACAUUGAUGCUCGAAAGUGUGGGUAUCAAACGGGAUUAGAUACCCUGGUAGUCCACACGGUAAACGAUGAAUACUCGCUGUAGGCGAUAUACAGUCUGCGGCCAAGCGAAAGCAUUAAGUAUUCCACCUGGGGAGUACGCCGGCAACGGUGAAACUCAAAGGAAUUGACGGGGGCCCGCACAAGCGGAGGAACAUGUGGUUUAAUUUGAUGAUACGCGAGGAACCUUACCCGGGUUUAAAUUGCAACCGAAUAUGGCGGAAACGCUAUAGCUAGCAAUAGCGGUUGUGAAGGUGCUGCAUGGUUGUCGUCAGCUCGUGCCGUGAGGUGUCGGCUUAAGUGCCAUAACGAGCGCAACCCUUGCCGAUAGUUACUAACAGGUUAUGCUGAGGACUCUGUCGGGACUGCCAUCGUAAGAUGUGAGGAAGGUGGGGAUGACGUCAAAUCAGCACGGCCCUUACGUCCGGGGCUACACACGUGUUACAAUGGGGGGGUACAGAGGGCUGCUACCACGCAAGUGGAUGCCAAUCCCAAAAACCUCUUUCAGUUUGGAUUGAAGUUUGCAACCUGACUUCAUGAAGCUGGAUUCGCUAGUAAUCGCGCAUCAGCCACGGCGCGGUGAAUACGUUCCCGGGCCU